CUGAAUGCCGGCAGAGGACAUCAGGCACCCAGAAAAGCAGCCCAACUCUUCGAAAGGAGCAAAAACGAAGGAAGAAAACGUGGGAGAAGACAAAAAGGAGGGGGGAAUCCCAGCCCAGGUGAGGCUCGGUGUGUUGGCUUCACAAAUCAGCAGAAUCUGUUCAUAAGCAGCGUGGACGGCUGCCAGGAAGAGGUCUCAGUAAGCCCCUCUCAUAGGUGGAAUUCGGCUGGAUUCCUGCUUGAAAGGGAUUCUGGAAAAUGUGGUUCCCAGGCUUCCAGCCGCUGAGAUAACAGGGCAUAGCUGAAAGGCGUGCUGCUCAAGGCCAGCAGAUCACAGCUGGCACAGUCCAGGCAUAUGGACACUCAGCACCCAAACUCACGUUCUGCCUGCAUUCAAUUUCCAACUAG
This is a long non-coding RNA of Bubalus bubalis (water buffalo), 407 nucleotides long. RefSeq lists it as uncharacterized. The record is from RefSeq and is a predicted model, not a curated record. NCBI's taxonomy places the organism in Eukaryota, Metazoa, Chordata, Mammalia, Artiodactyla, Bovidae. The transcript is spliced from 3 exons.